RNAcentral lists this transfer RNA (75 nucleotides) under Sporolactobacillus spathodeae. Its description in RNAcentral is "tRNA-Lys". It matches the Rfam family "tRNA". Rfam says of the family: Transfer RNA (tRNA) molecules are approximately 80 nucleotides in length. Their secondary structure includes four short double-helical elements and three loops (D, anti-codon, and T loops). RNAcentral also lists the same sequence under 1 other name. The record is from RNAcentral. Lineage: Bacteria; Bacillati; Bacillota; Bacilli; Caryophanales; Sporolactobacillaceae.
GAGCCGCUAGCUCAGGGGUAGAGCAUCUGACUUUUAAUCAGAGGGUCGAGGGUUCAAAUCCCUCGCGGCUCACCA